UACAGAGGUCCCGAGCGUUGUUCGGAUUCACUGGGCGUAAAGGGUGCGUAGGUGGCCUAAAAAGUUUGAUGUGAAAGCUCAGGGCUUAACCCUGAAGUGGCAUUGAAUACUGUUGGGCUGGAGGUUUGGAGGGGGGACUGGAGUUCUUGGUGUAGCAGUGAAAUGCGUAGAUAUCAAGAGGAACACCAGUGGCGAAGGCGAGUCCCUGGACAACACCUGACACUGAGGCACGAAAGCUAGGGGAGCAAACAG
This 252-nucleotide ribosomal RNA is filed under the name uncultured prokaryote. Its description in RNAcentral is "partial 16S ribosomal RNA". It matches the Rfam family "Bacterial small subunit ribosomal RNA", at positions 524 to 775 of the family's 1533-position model. The record is from RNAcentral.